RNAcentral lists this non-coding RNA (27 nucleotides) under Homo sapiens (human). The record is from RNAcentral. Lineage: Eukaryota; Metazoa; Chordata; Mammalia; Primates; Hominidae.
UCUCUGUCUGGAGAGCAAGGUCAGCCU